UGGGGAAUAUUGGCCAAUGGGCGAAAGCCUGAUCCAGCCAUGCCGCGUGUGUGAAGAAGGUCUUCGGAUUGUAAAGCACUUUAAGUUGGGAGGAAGGGCAUUAACCUAAUACGUUAGUGUUUUGACGUUACCGACAGAAUAAGCACCGGCUAACUCUGUGCCAGCAGCCGCGGUAAUACAGAGGGCGCAAGCGUUAAUCGGAAUUACUGGGCGUAAAGCGCGCGUAGGUGGUUUGUUAAGUUGGAUGUGAAAUCCCCGGGCUCAACCUGGGAACUGCAUUCAAAACUGACUGACUAGAGUAUGGUAGAGGGUGGUGGAAUUUCCUGUGUAGCGGUGAAAUGCGUAGAUAUAGGAAGGAACACCAGUGGCGAAGGCGACCACCUGGACUAAUACUGACACUGAGGUGCGAAAGCGUGGGGAGCAAACA
This 427-nucleotide ribosomal RNA is filed under the name uncultured bacterium. RNAcentral describes it as "partial 16S ribosomal RNA". It matches the Rfam family "Bacterial small subunit ribosomal RNA", at positions 355 to 774 of the family's 1533-position model. The record is from RNAcentral.